GGGACCAGGGGUCCAACCGCACCGGAAUACGAGUCCUGGAACUUUCUCCUAGCUUACUGGCUUUUACCUGAGCCCAGGUUGGGGCAAUAAAAGUACAGUUCCAUAAGAAAAGUACACAUCGUUCCACUUCCUCCUAACCUCCAACACACUUUCCUGACCUUUCUAACCCUGGAACCUGCCCAGCGGGGAGCCAAGGCCACCCCACCGUCACCGGUGCUUAUUUUCUGGCUGUCUGGCCCAUGUGGCUGCCACACGACGCCUUGUAGUAUUGAGGCUACGGAUAAGAACAGCAUUAGCUCUCAAUUCACCACCUUGGCCCGUUUCUCUUGUAACUUUUUUUAAAAGGCCUCAGUUUGCCCAGUUCCAGCGGGAGAAGAAACAUCGAAGUACCGGAUGAGGUACAGAAGAUACAACAAGGAAGCCAUGAGGAUAAACAGGACAGGAAAAGGAGACUGAAAUGGAGCAGUCGGUGUGAUAAGAGGAGCACAGCCCCCCGAUAUGAAAGUGCUUUCCAGACUUCUCUUGCCUGCUUUUCUGCUUGGGAAGCCUGCAUUACAAGUCGGCCUCAGUUAUCACCCUGGCUCCAAGUAUGUAACCUGGAAUCCUCUCAUCUGCUCCAGAACUCUUUUACACCUGUCAGGGACAGCUUCACUGGGUGCCUCAUGGUACCUCGGACUAAGUGUGUUGGAAACGUUUCAUUUUCCUUCCAAACCCAUUCAUGCUAUUAUGUUUACCAUUUAGUUCAUUGACACCACUGUCCUUCAAGCCAUUCCUGCUGAUCUUUGACGUAUCUCUUUCCCUCUGCAUUAUUUAAAGAAUGGUUUUCAAUGGGGAUGAGGUGUGUUCACAAGAUGAGGCAUUGGGUAGUCAGAACCAAGCACUAAAGCCUCUAUUUACAGUUAAUUCCUGUUAAAAGUUAUUAAAGAAAAUAAAGUUAGUGUCACUUUUCAGACAAUAGCAAAAUAGGGUGAAGGCAAGAAGCUUUUAUAGAAUAUAAAGAAUAAGGAAAAGAAAAAUGGAAAAUACUUAGUUGGCUGAGACCACAUACCAAACCUUCUCUGGGAUAAGAAGAAACAAGGAAAUGAGUCUAGAGCCCAGACUUGACUUGGCAUUUGGCGAUGGACUAACUGAAUGUGCUGCAUUCUGAUUCAGUGGAGUAUUUAUAGGGAUAGAAAAGUUACCUAAAUUUUGGUUUGCUGAUGUGGCGCCCUGGGGAAGGAGCAGCUUCAUCUUGGGCCUAGGAAGUUAUUUCAACAUUCCUGAGUACAAUAAAAUAAGGCUUCAUUAGUAUUUGAUAUAAGGACCUCCCCUGGUACUCAGAUUCGGUCUUUAUGGAGAGUCAUGUCAAGUGCACUUGGAAGGGAGUCCCAAGGGGACAGCAUGUUGUGCCUAUGAGCCUCUCAAACGAAUUCACAGAUUGUAUUAUCUACUUUCACUUAAACUCACAAAAUGGAGAGUGACUUUAAAAAUCCCUACAGGGAAUGUGAAUUGAAGAGGAUUCUAAUUAUGCAAAACCUACCUAACAUGAAGAAUAUACAGAACAGAAUUUUCCUCUAAAUACAAGCUCCUCCUCCUCAGCUACAUUACUUGGUUUUAAAAAAGUAUGUGGA
Molecule: long non-coding RNA, 1610 nt
Organism: Phyllostomus hastatus (greater spear-nosed bat)
Lineage: Eukaryota; Metazoa; Chordata; Mammalia; Chiroptera; Phyllostomidae
Exons: 3
Source: RefSeq, a predicted model, not a curated record